Molecule: ribosomal RNA, 489 nt
Filed under: uncultured bacterium
Lineage: Bacteria
Description: partial 16S ribosomal RNA
Rfam family: Bacterial small subunit ribosomal RNA
Source: RNAcentral
GUGCACGCUGGCGGUAGGCCUAACACCUGCCAGUCGAACGGCAGCACCGUAAGAGCUUGCUCUUACGGGUGGCGAGUGCGGACGGGUGAGGAAUACAUCGGAAUCUACUUUUUCGUGGGGGAUAACGUAGGGAAACUUACGCUAAUACCGCAUACGACCUACGGGUGAAAGCAGGGGAUCUUCGGACCUUGCGCGAUUGAAUGAGCCGAUGUCGGAUUAGCUAGUUGGCGGGGUAAAGGCCCACCAAGGCGACGAUCCGUAGCUGGUCUGAGAGGAUGAUCAGCCACACUGGAACUGAGACACGGUCCAGACUCCUACGGGAGGCAGCAGUGGGGAAUAUUGGACAAUGGGCGCAAGCCUGAUCCAGCCAUACCGCGUGGGUGAAGAAGGCCUUCGGGUUGUAAAGCCCUUUUGUUGGGAAAGAAAAGCAGCAGGUUAAUACCCCGCUGUUCUGACGGUACCCAAAGAAUAAGCACCGGCUAACUUCGU